CUCAAUUUAAAUCUGGCGGUUCUGCCGUCCGAGUUGUAAUCUGGAGAAGCGUUUUCCGCGUCGGACCGUGUACAAGUCUCUUGGAAUAGUGCGUCAUAGAGGGUGAGAAUCCCGUCCAUGACACGGACUACCGAUGCUCUGUGAUACGCUCUCAAAGAGUCGAGUUGUUUGGGAAUGCAGCUCAAAAUGGGUGGUAAAUUCCAUCUAAAGCUAAAUAUUGGCGAGAGACCGAUAGCGAACAAGUACCGUGAGGGAAAGAUGAAAAGCACUUUGGAAAGAGAGUUAAACAGUACGUGAAAUUGUUGAAAGGGAAACGCUUGAAGUCAGUCGCGUUGUGCGGAGCUCAGCCUUGCUUCUGCUUGGUGUAUUCUCCGUUUCGACGGGUCAACGUCAAUUUCAACCGGUGGAAAAGGGCCUGAGGAAUGUAGCGUCGUUUCGGCGACGUGUUAUAGCCUUGGGUCGUAUGCAUCGGUCGGGAUUGAGGACCGCAGCACGCCCUUGUGGCCGGGGGUUCGCCUCACGUUUGUGCUUAGGAUGUUGGCAAAAUGGCUUUAAGCGACCCGUCUUGAAACACGGACCAAGGAGUCUAACAUGCCUGCGAGUGUUUGGGUGGAAAACCCUUGCGCGUAAUGAAAGUGAAAGUUGGGAUCCUUCGCAAGGGGGUGCACCGACGCCCGGCCCUGACGUUCUCUGACGGUGCUGCGGUAGAGCAUGUAUGUUGGGACCCGAAAGAUGGUGAACUAUGCCUGAAUAGGGUGAAGCCAGAGGAA
This 770-nucleotide ribosomal RNA is filed under the name Hymenochaete raduloides. RNAcentral describes it as "partial large subunit ribosomal RNA". It matches the Rfam family "Eukaryotic large subunit ribosomal RNA", at positions 108 to 860 of the family's 3401-position model. The record is from RNAcentral. Lineage: Eukaryota; Fungi; Basidiomycota; Agaricomycetes; Hymenochaetales; Hymenochaetaceae.